This 136-nucleotide microRNA precursor is filed under the name Hordeum vulgare. RNAcentral's name for it is "microRNA MIR1122". It matches the Rfam family "MIR1120/MIR1122 microRNA precursor family". Lineage: Eukaryota; Viridiplantae; Streptophyta; Magnoliopsida; Poales; Poaceae. The record is from RNAcentral.
UAAGUACUUCCUCCGUUCCAAAAUUAUUGUCUUAUAUUUGUCUAUGUAUGAAUGUAUCUAGUCACGUUUUAGUAUUUAGAUACACUCAUUUCUAAGUAAACCUAAGACAAAAUUUUUGGGACGGAGGGAGUAUUAA